CAGCCGGGUAAUACGGAGGGUGCAAGCGUUAAUCGGAAUUACUGGGCGUAAAGCGCACGCAGGCGGUCUGACAAGUCAGAUGUGAAAUCCCCGGGCUUAACCUGGGAACUGCAUUUGAAACUGUCAGGCUGGAGUCUUGUAGAGGGGGGUGGAAUUCCAGGUGUAGCGGUGAAAUGCGUAGAGAUCUGGAGGAAUACCGGUGGCGAAGGCGGCCCCCUGGACAAAGACUGACGCUCAGGUGCGAAAGCGUGGGGAGCAAACAGGAUUAGAUACCCCUGUAGUCCCUGUCUCUUAUACACAU
Molecule: ribosomal RNA, 301 nt
Filed under: uncultured bacterium
Lineage: Bacteria
Description: partial 16S ribosomal RNA
Rfam family: Bacterial small subunit ribosomal RNA
Source: RNAcentral